CCUCCUUUCCCUUAUCUCCUCGUCUACCUCCAAACAGAACCACCGUGAAACCACCAAAGACAACGAAACGCGGCCUUCUUUCUUGCUUUUCUCCGUUGACAGCCACCAUUGAAACCCCCAACAUAUGAUUUCGUUUCUUCGUCUUCACUAUAUCGUCAACGAACAAGACCCCUCCACUAUUGCGUCGUCCUCAACAACGAACCAGGCAAACCAGCCGUAGGGAACUCCGAUACAGUUCAGCUAAAGGCAAAACAGAAGAUGUUGAAGCUUUCAAAAGAGACCUCCAGAAUAAGCUAACUCAGAUAGUUUCUCAGAUCACUAAAGAAGAAGAGGAAUACCGAGUUGAACAGAAUAUUCAUCGGCAGGCAAGUCAUUGUGUUUUUGUUAGACCAGUCUAUUCUCAUACCUUUGUCGUGUUGAUGUUGUCUGGUGUUUUUCAGGUUGAAGAAGAAUUGAUUAUUUUGGAAAGUAAAGCAUCACCGGUAGAGGGAAUCACAAAAGAAAAUAUGGAAACAAGAGUUAGCCAGAUAUCCUUGAAUUUGUGUUUUUUGCUCUUCUGCUACUUAGGAAAUUUGUUGCUAUCUGAACCAAAAUUCCUGCCAUAGUAGAGAAUGCUAAGCAUUUCCAGAAGGUAAAAAGAACUUCUAUCCAAGUACCUUUACACACGAAGUUGCAAAAUCCUAAACUGCUUCAGCUUGUAUAUUCAUAGGGAUAUUCAUGUCUGGGGCUUAUCUAAUUGUUUGACAAUGGACAUGAACCUCCUAUUGUGGAGGUUGAGAAUUAGAGUGGAGGGUCAAUAGGUAGUUGGGCGUAUUGCUUUUCUUUUCUCUCUGUUGUUCCUUUAGCCUCUGCUAUCUUAUUAUCUUCUUGUUGUUUCUGCUUGUUGCUACUUUCUCUUUUUUAUCAUUUUUAGUAUCGAUGGUCUAUUGGAAAUAACUUCUCUACCUUCCCAAGGUAGGAUUA
This is a non-coding RNA of Solanum lycopersicum (tomato), 963 nucleotides long. Lineage: Eukaryota; Viridiplantae; Streptophyta; Magnoliopsida; Solanales; Solanaceae. The record is from RefSeq and is a predicted model, not a curated record.